RNAcentral lists this ribosomal RNA (288 nucleotides) under uncultured bacterium. Its description in RNAcentral is "partial 16S ribosomal RNA". It matches the Rfam family "Bacterial small subunit ribosomal RNA", at positions 55 to 339 of the family's 1533-position model. The record is from RNAcentral.
AUGCAAGUCGAGGGGCAGCACGGUGUAGCAAUACACUGGUGGCGACCGGCGCACGGGUGAGUAACACGUGUGCAACCAACCCCGUACCGGGAGAUAACCCGCGGAAACGUGGACUAACAUCCCAUGAUACUCGAGAGCCGCAUGGCUCUAGAUUUAAAAUUCCGGUGGUACGGGACGGGCACGCGCGACAUUAGGUAGUUGGCGGGGUAAGGGCCCACCAAGCCGACGAUGUCUAGGGGUUCUGAGAGGAAGGUCCCCACACUGGAACUGAGACACGGUCCAGACUCC